Molecule: transfer RNA, 84 nt
Filed under: Paragonimus westermani
Lineage: Eukaryota; Metazoa; Platyhelminthes; Trematoda; Plagiorchiida; Troglotrematidae
Description: tRNA-Leu
Rfam family: tRNA
About the family: Transfer RNA (tRNA) molecules are approximately 80 nucleotides in length. Their secondary structure includes four short double-helical elements and three loops (D, anti-codon, and T loops).
Source: RNAcentral
GGUGGGUUGGCCGAGUGGUUAAGGCGGUGGGCUUAAGAUCCACUGGGGACAAUCCCCGCGUGGGUUCGAACCCCACAUCCACCA